UCGAGAAUUUUUCACAAUGGGCGCAAGCCUGAUGGAGCGACGCCGCGUGGGGGAUGAAGGGUUUCGAUCCGUAAACCCCUGUCAUUUGCGAACAAACCUCAUUUAAUAACACUGGAUGAGUUGAUUGUAGUAAAAGAGGAAGGGACGGCUAACUCUGUGCCAGCAGCCGCGGUAAUACAGAGGUCCCAAGCGUUGUUCGGAUUCACUGGGCGUAAAGGGUGCGUAGGUGGCCGGGAAAGUUUGAUGUGAAAGCUCGGAGCUUAACUCCGAAAUGGCAUUGAAUACUAUUCGGCUGGAGGGUCGGAAGGGAGACUGGAAUUCUCGGUGUAGCAGUGAAAUGCGUAGAUAUCGAGAGGAACACCAGUGGCGAAGGCGAGUCUCUGGACGACACCUGACACUGAGGCACGAAAGCUAGGGGAGCAAACAGG
RNAcentral lists this ribosomal RNA (428 nucleotides) under uncultured bacterium. RNAcentral describes it as "bacterial SSU rRNA". It matches the Rfam family "Bacterial small subunit ribosomal RNA", at positions 355 to 776 of the family's 1533-position model. The record is from RNAcentral.